AGCCAGCCGACGAGUCCCAGUUGGGACGAAAUGCACGUCCUGGAU
Schistosoma rodhaini is the source of this 45-nucleotide non-coding RNA. The record is from Rfam. Lineage: Eukaryota; Metazoa; Platyhelminthes; Trematoda; Strigeidida; Schistosomatidae.